Transfer RNA from Camelus ferus (Wild Bactrian camel), 72 nucleotides. It matches the Rfam family "tRNA". Rfam says of the family: Transfer RNA (tRNA) molecules are approximately 80 nucleotides in length. Their secondary structure includes four short double-helical elements and three loops (D, anti-codon, and T loops). The record is from Rfam. NCBI's taxonomy places the organism in Eukaryota, Metazoa, Chordata, Mammalia, Artiodactyla, Camelidae.
GUAGGUAUAGCUUAGUGGUAGAGCACAUGCUUAACAUGCACAAGGUCCUGGGUUCAGUCCCCUGUACCUCCA